AUGCUGUAUGUGCUGAUAGAGUCAGAGAGGGCCCGGAUCAAGAAACUGCAGGAAGAGAAAACUAGAAACCUAGAAUCGUCUAGAAAACUAGAACCUACAAUCGUCUCAGAACACAAAGGAAGCUUGAGGACUGAGCAGACUGACAUAGAUGUACUUGGACAACACCUCACCAAGGAGCAUGUCUCUUCCCACUCACAAUCCCCAAUACAAGAUUCACAGUGGUUCACGCUGAGUCCACAGGAAAAAUUGGCCUGGGGUACAUCAUCUAAAGAUCCUAGGAUUGCUGCAGGUCAGCAGUCUCCACUGGAAAAAAAGAUCUUGAAUCUAGGUGGUGUGCAUACAACAGCAGCAAGACAGUUGAUAAUUCAGAAAUAUCAGGAGGAGUGUGAAAUACUCUGUAGGGAGCAAGCUGUUUCUCUUGACUACUGGCUUGCCAAAGCAGAGUCUUAUUAUAAUAAAAUAAUAGUGGAAAUGAUGAAAGAAGAGACAGGCAAUGAAAUCAAGAAAAAAAUGGAGGAGAAAACAACCCAAAGCGUAGAAGGACUAAAACAGUACUGUUUGGUACCUGAGAGAGAGAUGAAACACAUAGAAAGGCACAUACAUCAAACAGGAAAGGCUGGAGAAUUUAAGAACAAAUCAUUUAGACAAGUACUACAACCCCCCAAUGAAACAAAAUUACCAAAAAUUAUGCCAGAAGGGCAUGGCAUCCAGAACGCACAGAGAAGAAAGCAGGUAAAUGAGAGGGAACAGAUGCAGACUAAGGAUCACCAGGAACGCAUGAUUCGAGGGAGAGAACUUGCAGAACAAAGACUCAAGGAGAGAAUCUUCAGAAGAAGCCAGAGCCAGCUACUUACAUAUGAGAAGCAUGAGAGAGUAAAAGAGAUAAAGGAGUUUGAAAGAGUUAUUGCAUAUCCUCUUUUCCAACCAUGCAGUAGAAGUCGGAUUAAAGUGAGUAUUCUUAUGGAUAAGUCUCAGAAUGGAGAGAAGGUGAAUACAAUUGUGAAACCAUAUCAAAGAAAAUUCUUGGCAAUGCCACCCUUUUUAAGAAGUCAAAUAGGAAAAAUAAGAGAUUAA
RNAcentral lists this small RNA (1074 nucleotides) under Pan troglodytes (chimpanzee). RNAcentral describes it as "transcribed unitary pseudogene". The record is from RNAcentral. Lineage: Eukaryota; Metazoa; Chordata; Mammalia; Primates; Hominidae.